Molecule: transfer RNA, 90 nt
Filed under: SAR324 cluster bacterium
Lineage: Bacteria; Deltaproteobacteria
Description: tRNA-Ser
Rfam family: tRNA
About the family: Transfer RNA (tRNA) molecules are approximately 80 nucleotides in length. Their secondary structure includes four short double-helical elements and three loops (D, anti-codon, and T loops).
Source: RNAcentral
GGAGAGAUGACUGAGAGGCCGAAAGUGGCAGAUUGCUAAUCUGUUGUACUCGCAAGGGUACCGAGGGUUCGAAUCCCUCUCUCUCCGCCA